Molecule: ribosomal RNA, 497 nt
Filed under: uncultured bacterium
Lineage: Bacteria
Description: partial 16S ribosomal RNA
Rfam family: Bacterial small subunit ribosomal RNA
Source: RNAcentral
GAUGAACGCUGGCGGCGUGCCUAAUACAUGCAAGGCGAGCGAACAGAUGAGGAGCUUGCUCCUCUGACGUUAGCGGCGGACGGGUGAGUAACACGUGGAUAACCUACCUAUAAGACUGGGAUAACUUCGGGAAACCGGAGCUAAUACCGGAUAAUAUAUUGAACCGCAUGGUUCAAUAGUGAAAGACGGUUUUGCUGUCACUUAUAGAUGGAUCCGCGCCGCAUUAGCUAGUUGGUAAGGUAACGGCUUACCAAGGCGACGAUGCGUAGCCGACCUGAGAGGGUGAUCGGCCACACUGGAACUGAGACACGGUCCAGACUCCUACGGGAGGCAGCAGUAGGGAAUCUUCCGCAAUGGGCGAAAGCCUGACGGAGCAACGCCGCGUGAGUGAUGAAGGUCUUCGGAUCGUAAAACUCUGUUAUUAGGGAAGAACAAAUGUGUAAGUAACUAUGCACGUCUUGACGGUACCUAAUCAGAAAGCCACGGCUAACUACGUG